RNAcentral lists this transfer RNA (75 nucleotides) under Negombata magnifica. RNAcentral describes it as "transfer RNA-Gln (UUG)". It matches the Rfam family "tRNA". Rfam says of the family: Transfer RNA (tRNA) molecules are approximately 80 nucleotides in length. Their secondary structure includes four short double-helical elements and three loops (D, anti-codon, and T loops). The record is from RNAcentral. Lineage: Eukaryota; Metazoa; Porifera; Demospongiae; Poecilosclerida; Latrunculiidae. RNAcentral also lists the same sequence under 1 other name.
UAGGGGUUAGCCAAAAUGGACAAAGGCGUUAAGUUUUGAUCUUAAUUAUUAGGGGUUCAAGUCCCUUAUCCCUAA